GUUCCCAGGCUAAGGGUCGAAUCGUAGCUACAGCUGCUGGCCUACGCCACAGCCACAGCAACACCAGAUCCAAGCUGCAUCUGUGACCUACACCACAGCUCACAGCAAUGCCGGAUCCUUAACCCAUUGAGCGAGGCCACGGAUGGAACCCACAACCUCACCGUCCCCAGUCGGAUUUGUUUCCACUGUGCCACAACGGGAACUCCUGCGUUUAUACAUCUUGUAACUGCUUCUUGGCUUUAUGCCUUUGCAGCUUACCAAAGGUUCAUAGGAACAAUGUACUUUCAGAUUGUUGAGAAACUGGUAGUUAAAUUCAAAUUUUGAAUUUGUUAUGAAGAAAAAAAUUGUGGCCUGGAUUAGUUGGACUCAAGAAGGCUGCCAUAAGGUAGUGUCACUGAUGCAGAAGCUGGAGCAGGGGACCCUCACCACCAGGUCACAGCCCCCCUCCCUCCUUCCUGCCCAAGGCUCUGUCUGUCCCUCAGGGCCUGCUACCUGGCUUGUCCCCAGAGGAGGUGUGGCACACCUGCUUCAGGAAGAAACCCACAUUUAGGAAGUUCCCCUUGUGGCUCAGCAGUAAUGAACCCAACUAGUAUCCAUGAGGAUGCAGGUUCCAUUCAUGGCCUGGCUCAAUGGGUUAAGGAUCUGGCAUUGCUUUGAGCUGUGGUCUCAGACUCAGCUUGGAUCCCUGGGUGCUGUGGCAUAAGCCAGCAGCUCUAACCCCUGGACUGGGAACUUCCAUAUGCUGAAGCUAUGGCCUGAAAAGCAAAAAAAGAAAAAGGAAAGAAAAAAAAAGAAACCCACAUUCCACAUUCAGAGAGAUUUUGUAAUGGCAUUAGCCAGGGUUCUUGAUUGCAGACAAAAGAAACAGGCUGGCUGUUUUAGGCAGGAAAGGAAUGUCUUUCAAAGAUGUGAGGAACUCACAGACUCACUAGGAGAGGUAGAGAACCAGGUGUGCUAGGCGGGCUGGGAUGAGGGAGACCUGACGCCAGGCCUACAGCGGGGCAAACCCGGAAACAGCAGGAGAGACGCUGGUGCUGCUGCCUCCAGGAGCCUGGGUGCCACAGCAUGCCCUCUCAGGCUUGGGGCCCACGCAUCGUCCUGCUCCCUCCAGAAGUUGAGCGCUGCUGCUCAGCCGGCGGUCUUUUGCCUGUGUCACCGGCUUUCAUUCCUAGACAGCGCUUGGGGUUCUGAUUGGUGGAGGCAGCCGUGCUUUCUGCGAGCAAGGCAGCCAAUGGGAGAUCUCCAACACUGCAUCUGGAAAGCACUUGGCCAGGGCUUUUAUGGAUAUUCUGGAAAGUUCAUUUAGUAUAUUGUGUAGGAAUUUUUAUACAGAGGGUAUAUCUAGGAAUAAAAUUGCUUGGCUAUAGAGUUAGAAAUAAAGUGGGGGUUUUAGCUUUUCCACUCUGCAGCUGGCAGAGGCAGAAGCCAGAUGGGAGUGGCUCCUGGGUCCACAGGACGCCUUAAUGGAAAUGAGUUCUGCGGUGUGUGCCCUGGGGCCACCAGUCCGAUUAUAAAGCAUAAAACAAUGCGGUAUACUUAAAUGCAAAAUUAGCUCACCUAUCAAAUUAAAAAGUCUUUCAAAAUACCAUGGUUAUCUAUUGACUAAGCCUUGAGAGAAGCACUCCCACACUGUGAAAGUGAAUAAUUGAUCCAACAUUUCUGGAGGGCAGUAUCCUAAACCCGUGAAAAUAAAGCCCUUUCCUUAGUGGUUUCGUGCCUGGGAAUAGAGCCUAAGGAAAUAAUUAGGGAUGAGGAUAGACUUACAUUAAUAAUAUAGGAUCCAACAUCUACGUGUUGAAAAGGUACCAGUUAGAAUUCAUGCACCUUGUGGAGAACCAGUGCAAUUAGCAGAGGCAAGAAGAUGCCGGUUGGCUCAGUGCAGGGUCUCUACAAAAUGAUUGGGAUCUUUUUCUCUGUUUACAUCCUUCAGUGUCACUUGUGUGUUUUACUUCUGAUUCACGGCAGGAUUUCUAUGGAUGAAAGCAGAUCCCAGGAUUCACGUGUAGUAGCAAAGGGUGAAAAUCUUUUUGUGUUCAUUCAAACGAAAAAAAAAAAAAAAAAAGCCCCUCGGGGUUCUCUUUGAUUGGAUGGGCUGAGGUCACAUGACCACGGAUCAUUGUCCUUGUCCUCCCCCUCCUCCCUUAGGGCUGCAAGAGCAUCUCUACAUCUAGCUUGGGGGAGCCCCACUCACAUAGGGACCCACCUACUAAAAACUGGGACUACUGUAGUCAAAAGGGGGAAAAAAUUCUGGGGAUUAAAUUUAAACCUAAUAAGAAAGGGAAACAAUACACAAGCAUGUAUGGCAGUGAUGUGGGUUGGUUGACUUUUAUUUUCUGCUUUAUAUUUAGAAUCAGAAAAAUAAACCUUUUUAAAAUCACAGAAAAUCAGCAAAGGUAGUGGUGUGGUGGACAAGGUGGUUGUAUAACUUUCUAUAACUCUUUCCUGUGGGGUUGGGGGUAAAGUUGAGGGGUACUGGUGUCCCUCUCUCCCCGGCCUGAGCCACUCCUCACCUUGGUUUCCUGUUCCACCAGCCUGAACAGUCAGGGUCAACAUUGGGACUUAAGCUUGGUGGUUGAGUGACCACCAAGGAGGGCAGUAUCCUAAACCCGUGAAAAUAAAGCCCUUUCCUUAGUGGUUUCAUGCCUGGGAAUAGCUGGUGGCCCUCUUAGGACCAGGAGUGAUGGGAGGACACAGCCAGCACAGGGAAGGUUGUGGUGGGGAGGAGCGGAGGAGUAGAGACUGGGGGCCCUGGUUUAACCACACCCCCCCUCCACUGACCUUUCCAGAACAAGAAACUAUAAAUCCUUUGUUGUCUCAGCCAGUUCGAAUUAAAUUUUCUCUUAACCAAAACUGAUAGACUCAUUUAUUUUGAGUCUACAAUCACCUCUCCUGUAUUUGAGUACAUUUACAGAGGAAAAAAGGGAAACUGCUGGCCUCGUGACUUUAAGGAGAAUGUGGAAGAAGUUGGGGGCGGGGUGACUUCUCCAGGACCAUCUCCAGCCCCCUGUAAGGGACCCUUUGGGAAAUGAGGGGCUCUUUGGGAAAUGCAGCCCCCUCUGGGACUGGAAGGAACACAGCAGCCCCGGAUCCAGGAUGUGCCACAGCUAGUUCUGGGGCUGGCACCAGGGCCAAACUCUGUCUUCUACCCCCAUUUCCUCAUUUCUAAGAUGAAGUUGACAAAAGAACAUAAGCCGAAUCUGAUCUGCCAAACCCAUCUGGGGCGGGUUUAUUUUUCUCUUGCAAAACUGACUUAAGAACAGUUAGAUGCCUGUCCAGCUUCCCUGCUCUCUAAAAAGACAAGGACAACAGAGUCGGCCAAAGGAGUGUCCGGAAAAAUCUGGGCAAGGCUGCAAGGGAUUCACGAUUCAGCUGGUGGACCCCUUGCACCUAGCACACAUUCAUGCUUUUUUGCUGAUUUUGCCAUCAGACCCUGACCCCACUGAGGCAUAUUUUCUGCUGCCUGAGGCCCUGGUUCUCGGUUCCUGAAGAGCACUAUCUCCUCUGGAUCCAGCGAGAGGGUGGAUUGAGGUUAGAUUUCAAUCUGACCAUAAAACCGCACAUUAGGAAAGGUACCUCAUCAAUUAGUUCUAAUUAAUUAUGGACAAAAUACAUCUCCAGCUGUGGGAUGUGGUUUGUUUCCUGUUUGCUAUCAUUAGACAAGUUUAGUGACUGUGUAAAGAGAAAAUGCAGACGUAAAGGGGAGGAAAAAGAGAUGAGGAAAAGCAAGUGGUUAGAAUUAGUAUUAAACGGCAAUAGAAUGGCGUAACCACUACCCACAGAUGUGGAAUCUGCUUCCUUGACACUGAAUAGAGCUCCCCCGGCACUGCUCCAUGUGAGCGGAAGCCUCCUGUCCACAGCUGCUCUUCUCACCCUUGUCAUUUCUAUCAGGCUCCCUACUCCCAGGCAGCAGUCUUCCCCUUGGGAAGCGGGUGCUGGGUGGACUGGUGGCCAUGACAGGGUCUUGUGGCCCCGAGAGCUCCAGUCCCAGAGCUUCUGCCAGCAUGCUGGGGACUCUCCAGUUCAGCCACUGGCUUAGAACAGGUCAGGACAGGGCAGGGGGCUUCCUGGUAGAAAAAAAAUCUGUUACCCCCUCUGUGGCUUCCUUGUAAGGGAGUUGUGCAAAAUUAAUGUCUUUGCCACUGGGCUCUUUCGUGGACACAUUAAACUUGGCCCACUCGUGUCCAAGGUCUGUGAUGUUAGGGUGCUGCUGGGGUGAGCAGUCAGCGCUAGUGAACGUGCAGUGUGGGUGUUUUGGGAUGUGGUACCCAGCUGUGUGAAGUGGCCUGUGCAAGAAGGAAAUGAGUCAGAGCUCAUCACCCCUUUUUGGACCUUGGACAAGUCAUUCGAUCCCUCUGAAUCUCACCCCGCUCAUCUGUACACUGGAGCUUUGAAUGCUGGUCUUGCAGGGAUGCUCUAAGGACCAGUGGAACAGUGAACAGUGUUAGCAAAUAUGGUGCUGAUGUUCAGUGCAUGGAAGCUGUUAGUGUGAUUACAUAUCAAGUGUCCAGGAACCUCUAUUUCUACCCUUUGCAAAGAGUAGUUCUCAGUCCAGAAAGUUUCUUGAUGUUUCUUCUUUGCAAAAGAGCAGUAAUGAGCUGUCCUGCCCAGACUUCUGGCUUGCUGGGGGCAGCAGGAGGUUGCCUCCAUCCCUGAAGUCUGAGAGGGGAAACCUCAAAGACGCUUGCUUCUGCUUGGCUCUGUCUACUGCAGCAGACAGGGAGUUUGCUCUGGACCAGCCUCUGGAGACCCAGACUCUUCACAGCCUGUGACAUGAUACACAGGGACCUGGGACCCUCUCCACUGGGGCGGCUGUAAUGUGAUGGAUUGAUGACUGCAACAUCCUUUGUUUCCUGAUACAGCAGGCAAUAUUUCAGUUCACAAGCUGGCCCUGCUGAUUUUUUUUGGGGGGGGGAGGAUGAGGUUUUAAAUAAUUGAUUCAAAUUAUAAUAGAUACAGGAUUUUUGAGAUCAUCUAUUUCUUCUUGGCUGA
This 4989-nucleotide long non-coding RNA is filed under the name Sus scrofa (pig). Its description in RNAcentral is "lncRNA (ENSSSCG00015037327.1)". Lineage: Eukaryota; Metazoa; Chordata; Mammalia; Artiodactyla; Suidae. The record is from RNAcentral.